GUAGUCAUAUGCUUGUCUCAAAGAUUAAGCCAUGCAUGUCUAAGUAUAAGCAACUUGUACUGUGAAACUGCGAAUGGCUCAUUAAAUCAGUUAUCGUUUAUUUGAUAGUACCUUACUACAUGGAUACCUGUGGUAAUUCUAGAGCUAAUACAUGCUAAAAACCCCGACUUCAGGAAGGGGUGUAUUUAUUAAAUAAGCCG
This 200-nucleotide ribosomal RNA is filed under the name uncultured fungus. RNAcentral's name for it is "partial 18S ribosomal RNA". It matches the Rfam family "Eukaryotic small subunit ribosomal RNA", at positions 20 to 221 of the family's 1831-position model. Lineage: Eukaryota; Fungi. The record is from RNAcentral.